CCGAGUUUACAACUCCCAAACCCCUGUGAACAUACCACUUGUUGCCUCGGCGGAUCAGCCCACUCCCGGUAAAACGGGACGGCCCGCCAGAGGACCCCUAAACUCUGUUUCUAUAUGUAACUUCUGAGUAAAACCAUAAAUAAAUCA
Molecule: unclassified non-coding RNA, 147 nt
Filed under: soil metagenome
Description: partial internal transcribed spacer 1
Source: RNAcentral